UGUCAAUCAAUCCACAUGUGUUUUAUUGUUCUAUUUGAAGCCAUCUCCUCAUUUCCAGCCCUUUGAGCGGCAAUAUGAUUUAACACUUUUUUGCAUUAAAUCCUGGUCAAAGACAACACCUGCCUGUUCCUUGGAGGAAGUGAUGCAAGAGAGAGUUUAGCUGGCUGCAGUGUUGAGAAGUUGCUGUGUGUUCGAGGUGGAUGAGGCGGUGUUAUCUGGAGGCAGCAGACGACAUAAAUAGAGUUGGCUCAGAUCGAGGCUCGCAGCUGCUGGUUGUUCGUCAUUGACAGGAAACAGGAAGUGGACUUCUGCUGCAGCCAUGGCAGCCAAGUCUUUUUGCCCCAGGGCUGCUGUGCCUACAUAGGUCAUGUGUCAGCAGGGAACUAUACUGCCCGACAAAGUCAGAACGCUGUAACAUCAUGUUUGGUCAAAACUAAGUUAAUGUAAUUUUCUUUGUAUUUGAGACCUCCUUUAUCAUGUGAAUAAAUAUUGUGAAAAAAUAUAUAAAAUAUUAAGCACAAAAUUAACCUUUGACACUUAU
Molecule: long non-coding RNA, 541 nt
Organism: Boleophthalmus pectinirostris (great blue-spotted mudskipper)
Lineage: Eukaryota; Metazoa; Chordata; Actinopteri; Gobiiformes; Gobiidae
Exons: 3
Source: RefSeq, a predicted model, not a curated record